ACUCGCGCCCGGCCGCCUCGCCGCCUCGUCGCACCGCGCCGCGUCGGCAACGCUACACAGUACACUGCUAUACCGCCGCUACACACUGACACACGGCGGCGCGUUUACACCGCACACAGCCGCGCGCCGCGUACGGAUCCACCGCGCCGACAUUUUAAAGUUUCAUGCCGAAUUUGACUUUAAAAUCUCAUCGAAACCGACGGAGACGCGGCCCAGCCGGACAGGCUGAAUAUUUACCUGAAUAACAGUGGUGCGUUGUCUCAUUCGACGCAUUAGAUGCGCAGUGAAUGGACAACGCGUGUGGAAAUACGAAGGAGAGCGCAUGCGCCACGCACACUCCUCCACGGCGCCUCUGUAUUCACUGAAAAUGGGUUUGCGAUGACUUCAAUGUAUGAAAGUGGGUGGCGUUUAUGUGAAUGAAGAAGUCGCGCCAAUUGAUGAACAGGGCGCAAGCGAUAAAUUAAAAGCGCAUCUCUCGCAACGAGGCAUAAGUAAGGUCAUUGGAAUGCUUAGCUGCGAUGCUACAAAUUGCGCAAAUAGAUGUUCCAAUGAACUCGUUUAAUAAUAGCGGGCGUAGUGAGGGCGUCACUGAAGAGAAAUACUAGUAGAGAAUUCACUCGGCGACUGCCGACUACUCGCUACACAGUGAGACUGGCUCAAGGUUGCCACUACAUGCAUUAGUAGUCCGCACUGCCAUCGGAAAAUCUGAGGUUAAAUCUGUGAAGAUUUCCAUUAAACACGAACAUAUAGACCGACUCUUAAAUUUGUAUUCAUUACAAAACGUGUGCAUAACCAGGUGUAAAUGUUAUUACGAGAGUGUAUACAAUGAGUACAAACCUAUAAUAUUUUUAGUAUUAUCACGAACAAAACGAAAAGUUAAUAUUAAUUCUUGCGUCCUUUCCGUUAUACUAAAAUGUUAUUUUUAUUGCGGUCAUGAUAAACGUAUUUUGGCUUUGAAAAAUAACUGAAGACGUAUGUUCCGCAAUUUUAAACUUCCUCGGCAUCUUAUAAAAACUAAAUAGUACAAACACCUCGGCGUAUAAUUUAAGCGUCGGCAAUAAAUUUUGCAUAUUGUUCUCUAUUUCCUGAUUUUAAAAAACGCAUUGUGAAAAUGUUUUCAAUGUCACACCAAUUAUACACGACAUUGGAGAUGAAAAAUUCGCAGUGAAUUUGCGAGCUUCUACGCUAGGAACAGACGAACAACUUGCUGGCAUUAUUUAUCGCAAAUUUGAUCGACAUAAUAAAGUAUGUAGGUAUCUCUUUUUUUAAGUAAAUAAAUGACAAAGAAAUAUAGCUAUUUAAAAGAAGAAUUAUAGGUUUUGUUUCCUUGAUUUGACAGAAUAAAUACGUAUUUGAAUGUUGUUUUCGAAUAUUUUACUUGAAUGAAUAAUCAAUUUGUAUAAAUGUUUUGGUGCCAUCACCAAACUGCUUCAUAGCAGCAUUUUGUUCAUGAAUUCAGACAAUACCUGUUAGGAUAUGAAUAAAAACAAAGGUGUCGCAACUAAGAUUGACGUAUAAGGGUGGUAUUAUUAUACUUUAUUGAUCACCAUACAAGGUUUUUAACCUGUAAUAAAUAGUCUUAUAUUUGUAGAGUCAUGCUCUUCUUUACACAAUAUUAUACACAUAUAAACAUCUUCUCCUUCAACGUAUAUAUUCACCCAAUGUUGAGUGUCGGCUUUUUUAAUGCAUCCCAGGUUGUUCUGUUCAGGGUAGUCCUCAUCCUGCUUGGUCCCACCGCGUGGACCAGGUUUUCGGUCCACAUCAUUGAAGGCCUGCCCCGAUUUCUAUGACCAGUUCUUGGUCUCCAUAUCAACUUUAUAAAAACAGACGUUUUUUUGUAUUCUAGAUAAUAAAUUCAUCAUUAUCAGCCGCAGAAUGUCCACUGCUGAACAUGGGCCGCCCCUAAAGAUUUCUAGAUAGACCUAUUGAAAGCAGCCCGUAUCCAGCGACAUAAUAAAAGAUAAUAAAUUUGGAACAAAUUAUUAAACAGCUAACUAGUUAGGUGUACAUAUGACCACUAAAUCGUUUAUGAAAUAUGAAAACUCUAUGUUUAAUGAAGUAGAAACAGAUUUAAAACUUCUUAAGGAAAAUUGGUCAAAAUUCAUUUUUAAGGGUAUGAGUUUCUUUUGAAAUGUAUUUAAACUUUAAUUUUGUAUUGAUUGUAUGUACAUCAACGCUACUACUUUUAUAUUUCUAUGCCCCCUAGUAUUGCAGAUUUUCGUGGGCGACGGUGAUCACUCAGCGUAUGCUCGUUUGUCCCCUAUAAGAUAAAAAAACGUGUCGAUAAGCAUUAAAUUGUUUUUAGCUGUUGGCUAAAUAACCCCAGCCAUAUUAAAUUUGUUCGAGCCAAAAUUAUUUAGUUUUUGUUGCGGCGCUGACAGGUCCUCUUACUUCCUGAUACAACAAAAGAUUUUUGCUUUAUUA
Long non-coding RNA from Manduca sexta (tobacco hornworm), 2424 nucleotides. RefSeq lists it as uncharacterized. The transcript has 2 exons. NCBI's taxonomy places the organism in Eukaryota, Metazoa, Arthropoda, Insecta, Lepidoptera, Sphingidae. The record is from RefSeq and is a predicted model, not a curated record.